AUGAAUUACAGGGCUUCUCUUUAGAAGUUCCGCCCAUUCAUUUCCAACCCUGUGCACACACUAUUCUUUUUUACACCUUUUUAACUCGUAAUAGUUGAAGAAUGUAAUCAGCCUCUUAAUUGAGCAUAAAAUAUAGUCA
RNAcentral lists this unclassified non-coding RNA (139 nucleotides) under uncultured fungus. RNAcentral's name for it is "sequence contains ITS1". The record is from RNAcentral. Lineage: Eukaryota; Fungi.